RNAcentral lists this ribosomal RNA (916 nucleotides) under uncultured bacterium. Its description in RNAcentral is "bacterial SSU rRNA". It matches the Rfam family "Bacterial small subunit ribosomal RNA", at positions 8 to 916 of the family's 1533-position model. The record is from RNAcentral.
AGAGUUUGAUCCUGGCUCAGAUUGAACGCUGGCGGCAUGCCUUACACAUGCAAGUCGAACGGCAGCACGGGGGCAACCCUGGUGGCGAGUGGCGAACGGGUGAGUAAUACAUCGGAACGUGUCCUGUAGUGGGGGAUAGCCCGGCGAAAGCCGGAUUAAUACCGCAUACGAUCUGUGGAUGAAAGACGGGGGAUCCUUCGGGACCUCGCGCUACAGGGGCGGCCGAUGGCAGAUUAGCUAGUUGGUGGGGUAAAGGCCUACCAAGGCGACGAUCUGUAGACUGGUCUGAGAGGACGACCAGCCACACUGGGACUGAGACACGGCCCAGACUCCUACGGGAGGCAGCAGUGGGGAAUUUUGGACAAUGGGCGAAAGCCUGAUCCAGCAAUGCCGCGUGUGUGAAGAAGGCCUUCGGGUUGUAAAGCACUUUUGUCCGGAAAGAAAACCUCGUGGUUAAUACCCGUGGGGGAUGACGGUACCGGAAGAAUAAGCACCGGCUAACUACGUGCCAGCAGCCGCGGUAAUACGUAGGGUGCAAGCGUUAAUCGGAAUUACUGGGCGUAAAGCGUGCGCAGGCGGUUCGCUAAGACAGAUGUGAAAUCCCCGGGCUUAACCUGGGAACUGCAUUUGUGACUGGCGGGCUAGAGUAUGGCAGAGGGGGGUAGAAUUCCACGUGUAGCAGUGAAAUGCGUAGAGAUGUGGAGGAAUACCGAUGGCGAAGGCAGCCCCCUGGGCCAAUACUGACGCUCAUGCACGAAAGCGUGGGGAGCAAACAGGAUUAGAUACCCUGGUAGUCCACGCCCUAAACGAUGUCAACUAGUUGUUGGGGAUUCAUUUCCUUAGUAACGUAGCUAACGCGUGAAGUUGACCGCCUGGGGAGUACGGUCGCAAGAUUAAAACUCAAAGGAAUUGACGG